CUACUUGCCCUUAGAGUUUGAUCCUGGCUCAGGAUGAACGCUAGCUACAGGCUUAACACAUGCAAGUCGAGGGGAAACGACAUCGAAAGCUUGCUUUUGAUGGGCGUCGACCGGCGCACGGGUGAGUAACGCGUAUCCAACCUGCCCACCACUUGGGGAUAACCUUGCGAAAGUAAGACUAAUACCCAAUGACGUCUCUAGAGGACAUCUGAAAGAGAUUAAAGAUUUAUCGGUGAUGGAUGGGGAUGCGUCUGAUUAGCUUGUUGGCGGGGUAACGGCCCACCAAGGCUACGAUCAGUAGGGGUUCUGAGAGGAAGGUCCCCCACAUUGGAACUGAGACACGGUCCAAACUCCUACGGGAGGCAGCAGUGAGGAAUAUUGGUCAAUGGACGAGAGUCUGAACCAGCCAAGUAGCGUGCAGGAUGACGGCCCUAUGGGUUGUAAACUGCUUUUAUAAGGGAAUAAAGUGAGAGUCGUGACUCUUUUUGCAUGUACCUUAUGAAUAAGGACCGGCUAAUUCCGUGCCAGCAGCCGCGGUAAUACGGAAGGUCCGGGCGUUAUCCGGAUUUAUUGGGUUUAAAGGGAGCGUAGGCCGGAGAUUAAGCGUGUUGUGAAAUGUAGAUGCUCAACAUCUGCACUGCAGCGCGAACUGGUUUCCUUGAGUACGCACAAAGUGGGCGGAAUUCGUGGUGUAGCGGUGAAAUGCUUAGAUAUCACGAAGAACUCCGAUUGCGAAGGCAGCUCACUGGAGCGCAACUGACGCUGAAGCUCGAAAGUGCGGGUAUCGAACAGGAUUAGAUACCCUGGUAGUCCGCACGGUAAACGAUGGAUGCCCGCUGUUGGUCUGAAUAGGUCAGCGGCCAAGCGAAAGCAUUAAGCAUCCCACCUGGGGAGUACGCCGGCAACGGUGAAACUCAAUUGAAUUGACGG
This 930-nucleotide ribosomal RNA is filed under the name uncultured bacterium. RNAcentral's name for it is "bacterial SSU rRNA". It matches the Rfam family "Bacterial small subunit ribosomal RNA", at positions 1 to 916 of the family's 1533-position model. The record is from RNAcentral.